CAUCAAUCUGUGGCGUGAGUGAGUUUGCAACUUUGCAUUGCUGGACUUUGAUUCUUCAACGCUUCAAGUGGCAAACCAACACGUGGCGCUUCAACUAUUGGCUCGAGUUUAGAGAAAUAUUUGGUGAGUUGAGGAAAACACUUUUGAAGACAAUGACUUUAAAUUUGUAAAAUAUAUGGGAGUAUGCCAUCAUGUUUUGACAUUCUUAUUUCGCAAGUUUGUAAAAUAUAUGACUCCUUUAGUGGAUUGUUCUAUUUUACCUUUA
Lotus japonicus is the source of this 265-nucleotide long non-coding RNA. RefSeq lists it as uncharacterized. The transcript has 2 exons. The record is from RefSeq and is a predicted model, not a curated record. NCBI's taxonomy places the organism in Eukaryota, Viridiplantae, Streptophyta, Magnoliopsida, Fabales, Fabaceae.